AAUCUUCCACAAUGGGCGCAAGCCUGAUGGAGCAACACCGCGUGAGUGAAGAAGGGUUUCGGCUCGUAAAGCUCCGUUGUUAAAGAAGAACACGUAUGAGAGUAACUGUUCAUACGUUGACGGUAUUUAACCAGAAAGUCACGGCUAACUACGUGCCAGCAGCCGCGGUAAUACGUAGGUGGCAAGCGUUAUCCGGAUUUAUUGGGCGUAAAGAGAGUGCAGGCGGUUUUCUUAAGUCUGAUGUGAAAGCCUUCGGCUUAACCGGAGAAGUGCAUCGGAAACUGGAUAACUUGAGUGCAGAAGAGGGUAGUGGAACUCCAUGUGUAGCGGUGGAAUGCGUAGAUAUAUGGAAGAACACCAGUGGCGAAGGCGGCUACCUGGUCUGCAACUGACGCUGAGACUCGAAAGCAUGGGUAGCGAACAGGAUUAGAUACCCUGGUAG
This 442-nucleotide ribosomal RNA is filed under the name uncultured bacterium. RNAcentral's name for it is "bacterial SSU rRNA". It matches the Rfam family "Bacterial small subunit ribosomal RNA", at positions 360 to 793 of the family's 1533-position model. The record is from RNAcentral.